UACGUAGGGGGCAAGCGUUGUCCGGAAUUACUGGGCGUAAAGCGCAUGUAGGCGGGUCGGCAAGUCAGAUGUGAAAUCCCCGGGCUCAACCCGGGAACUGCAUCUGAAACUGCUGGUCUUGAGUACUGGAGAGGGUGGCGGAAUUCCUGGUGUAGAGGUGAAAUUCGUAGAUAUCAGGAGGAACACCGGUGGCGAAGGCGGCCACCUGGACAGUAACUGACGCUGAGAUGCGAAAGCGUGGGGAGCAAACAGG
RNAcentral lists this ribosomal RNA (253 nucleotides) under uncultured bacterium. RNAcentral's name for it is "partial 16S ribosomal RNA". It matches the Rfam family "Bacterial small subunit ribosomal RNA", at positions 524 to 776 of the family's 1533-position model. The record is from RNAcentral.